UCUCCGUAGGUGAACCUGCGGAGGGAUCAUUACAGAGUUCAUGCCCUACCGGGUAGAUCUCCCACCCUAUGUUAUUAUUACUUUGUUGCUUUGGCGGGCCGUUGGGCUCCGGCCCGACUACCGGCCCCGGCUGGUAAGCGCCCGCCAGAGGACCCAAAACCCUGAAUAUUAGUGUCGUCUGAGUACUAUAUAAUAGUUAAAACUUUCGACAACGGAUCUCUUGGUUCUG
RNAcentral lists this unclassified non-coding RNA (229 nucleotides) under plant metagenome. RNAcentral's name for it is "partial contains small subunit ribosomal RNA, internal transcribed spacer 1, and 5.8S ribosomal RNA". The record is from RNAcentral.